This is a non-coding RNA of Manis javanica (Malayan pangolin), 1136 nucleotides long. The record is from RefSeq and is a predicted model, not a curated record. NCBI's taxonomy places the organism in Eukaryota, Metazoa, Chordata, Mammalia, Pholidota, Manidae.
CCGGGCUGGCGGGGGCCGGGGCGCGUCCUCCCGGAGAGCCAAGGGAAGCCAAGCGCGCGUCUCGUGCUGGGCUGAGGUUUGCCUUUUUCAAGUAAAUACAAACAUCAGUGUGAAAUUAUCCAGUGUUCCGCGAAACAAAAAGGAGUUCAAAGGAUAAAAGAGUUUACAACGCUUUGGCCGCCAGGGCAGCGCGAAGGAGUGCGCUGGGCAUCCCCACGCGCGCUCGCAUUACCGCCGUUGCCAGAAAGCUGACCCCCCGUCUGGCCGUCUAUCCAGCGCUCGCUGUCGCUUCCCAAACUAACGCGGAGAAUUUACUCUCUCGUGGAAGCUGCGAGAGGCCGAGGCGGAGGCAAAGGCGAGCGGGCCGGGGAGGCUGCAUGCUCCCUCCCGCAGCCUGCGAGUUUCCAGCCGCCCAGCCGGAGACGGGCUUGUUGAGGAUGACAGCACUCAGAUGUGACACAGACACCUUGUACGCUCCUGAGCACUAGAAGCAGAUGCAAGUAACCUUAUGAAAUAGGCACUCCUGUCAUUCCACAUUUUGAAGAUAAGGAAACAGGCACAAAAAGUUUCAACAACCUGCCCCAAGCUGUUCUGCUGAGAGGAGGAAGAAGCUGAAACGAGAUGGCCAAUUAUCAAGGGACUUCUGAGAUGCCAAAACCCUUCAAGUGUGACUCCUUUAGUAUCUGACUAGACCACUAACAACGAAUAUGUGAAUAAAUUAAAACUGCCAGAAGGAGCUCUUGAUUUUGGCUUUACAUGUAUGUGUUUGUCCCCCAGAAGCUGUAUAGAAUGUCUCAAAAGAAGUCUUCUCUUCUGAGUGCACACUGAGUAAAUGAGGCAGAUGGGAUCUAAGAACAUUUCACAUUGCAUUCCUCAGCUUUCUGGCAUCCCCUUUCCACUCCCUUCAAUGGACUCAAGGGUCACCUGGUUUAGAUUCUGGAAGAACAAAGAUAACUCUCUAGGACGAAGAGCACAGCUUUGGGCACCUGAAAUGAGAAAAAUCUAUACCCCAUAGAAAUAUUGCAAGGAAAAAGAUGGAGUGGAUUUAGUUCUUGUUACCAGAUGCCAAUCAUUCUUACCCAUUUUGCAAGGAGAGUUUUAACUUCAGAGUUGGCUCUUCAGGAUUUGACCUUUCA